AACGAACGCUGGCGGCAUGCCUAACACAUGCAAGUCGAACGAGACCUUCGGGUCUAGUGGCGCACGGGUGCGUAACGCGUGGGAACCUGCCCUUAGGUUCGGAAUAACUCCCCGAAAGGGGUGCUAAUACCGGAUAAUGUCUUCGGACCAAAGAUUUAUCGCCUUUGGAUGGGCCCGCGUUGGAUUAGCUAGUUGGUAGGGUAAAAGCCUACCAAGGCGACGAUCCAUAGCUGGUCUGAGAGGAUGAUCAGCCACACUGGGACUGAUACACGGCCCAGACUCCUACGGGAAGCAGCAGUGGGGAAUAUUGGACAAUGGGCGAAAGCCUGAUCCAGCAAUGCCGCGUGAGUGAUGAAGGCCUUAGGGUUGUAAAGCUCUUUUACCCGGGAUGAUAAUGACAGUACCGGGAGAAUAAGCUCCGGCUAACUCCGUG
Molecule: ribosomal RNA, 433 nt
Filed under: uncultured bacterium
Lineage: Bacteria
Description: partial 16S ribosomal RNA
Rfam family: Bacterial small subunit ribosomal RNA
Source: RNAcentral